RNAcentral lists this ribosomal RNA (601 nucleotides) under uncultured bacterium. RNAcentral's name for it is "bacterial SSU rRNA". It matches the Rfam family "Bacterial small subunit ribosomal RNA", at positions 743 to 1348 of the family's 1533-position model. The record is from RNAcentral.
ACGCUAAAGCUCGAAGGUGCGGGUAUCGAACAGGAUUAGAUACCCUGGUAGUCCGCACGGUAAACGAUGGAUGCCCGCUGUUGGCGACACACUGUCAGCGGCCAAGCGAAAGCGUUAAGCAUCCCACCUGGGGAGUACGCCGGCAACGGUGAAACUCAAAGGAAUUGACGGGGGCCCGCACAAGCGGAGGAACAUGUGGUUUAAUUCGAUGAUACGCGAGGAACCUUACCUGGACUCAAAUGUUGGAUGACCGUUCCAGAAAUGGGACUUCCCUUCGGGGCAUCCAGCAAGGUGCUGCAUGGUUGUCGUCAGCUCGUGCCGUGAGGUGUCAGGUUAAGUCCUAUAACGAGCGCAACCCCUACGUCCAGUUGCCAGCGGGUAAAGCCGGGGACUCUGGAGGGACUGCCGGCGCAAGCCGAGAGGAAGGUGGGGAUGACGUCAAAUCAGCACGGCCCUUACGUCCAGGGCGACACACGUGCUACAAUGGCCGGUACAGAGGGCAGCCACCCCGCGAGGGGGAGCGAAUCUCGAAAGCCGGUCUCAGUUCGGAUCGGAGUCUGCAACUCGACUCCGUGAAGUUGGAUUCGCUAGUAAUCGCGCA